This 425-nucleotide ribosomal RNA is filed under the name uncultured prokaryote. Its description in RNAcentral is "bacterial SSU rRNA". It matches the Rfam family "Bacterial small subunit ribosomal RNA", at positions 355 to 774 of the family's 1533-position model. The record is from RNAcentral.
UGGGGAAUCAUGGUCAAUGGGCGAAAGCCUGAACCUGCGACGCCGCGUGAGUGAUGAAGGUCGUAAGAUCGUAAAACUCUUUUCAGGGAUCUUAAAGCACAACCGUCAACAACGGCUGUGUGUGACUCUCCCUGGAAGAAGCCCCGGCUAACUACGUGCCAGCAGCCGCGGUAAUACGUAGGGGGCGAGCGUUGCUCGGAUUGACUGGGCGUAAAGCGCGCGUAGGCGGUCCAUUAAGCGUGCGGUGAAAUGCAGAGGCUCAACCUCUGUCCCGCCGCGCGAACUGGUGGUCUUGAGAUUGGGAGGGGGAUGCGGAAUUCCUGGUGUAGCGGUGGAAUGCGUAGAUAUCUGGAAGAACACCAGUAGCGAAGGCGGCUCUCUGGUCCGAUACUGACGCUCAAGCGCGAAGGCUUGGGGAGCAAACA